UCGAGAAUCUUCCGCAAUGCGCGCAAGCGUGACGGAGCGACGCCGCGUGGGGGAUGAAGGCCUUCGGGUUGUAAACCCCUGUCACCUGGGAAGAAAGGCGGGUAGUUAAUAGCUGUCCCGCUUGACGUUACCAGGAGAGGAAGCACCGGCUAAAUACGUGCCAGCAGCCGCGGUAAUACGUAUGGUGCUAACGUUGUUCGGAAUCACUGGGCUUAAAGAGCACGUAGGCGGUUGAGAUAGUCUGAUGUGAAAUCCCCCGGCUCAACCGGGGAACUGCAUUAGAUACUUCUUGACUAGAGUGCAGGAGGGGAGAGUGGAAUUCCUGGUGGAGCGGUGAAAUGCGUAGAUAUCAGGAGGAACGCCGGUGGCGAAAGCGGCUCUCUGGCCUGCUACUGACGCUGAGGUGCGAAAGCUAGGGGAGCGAACGGGAUUAGAUACCCCUGUAGUCC
This 449-nucleotide ribosomal RNA is filed under the name uncultured prokaryote. RNAcentral describes it as "bacterial SSU rRNA". It matches the Rfam family "Bacterial small subunit ribosomal RNA", at positions 355 to 796 of the family's 1533-position model. The record is from RNAcentral.